AAUACGGGGGGGGCAAGCGUUGUUCGGAAUUACUGGGCGUAAAGGGCUCGUAGGCGGCCAACUAAGUCGGAUGUGAAAUCCCCAGGCUCAACUUGGGAACUGCAUCCGAUACUGGAUGGCUUGAAUUCGGGAGAGGGAUGCAGAAUUCCAGGUGUAGCGGUGAAAUGCGUAGAUAUCUGGAGGAAUACCGGUGGCGAAGGCGGCAUCCUGGACCGGCAUUGACGCUGAUGAGCGAAAGCUAGGGGAGCAAACG
RNAcentral lists this ribosomal RNA (253 nucleotides) under uncultured prokaryote. Its description in RNAcentral is "partial 16S ribosomal RNA". It matches the Rfam family "Bacterial small subunit ribosomal RNA", at positions 522 to 774 of the family's 1533-position model. The record is from RNAcentral.